RNAcentral lists this ribosomal RNA (513 nucleotides) under uncultured bacterium. RNAcentral describes it as "partial 16S ribosomal RNA". It matches the Rfam family "Bacterial small subunit ribosomal RNA", at positions 28 to 523 of the family's 1533-position model. The record is from RNAcentral.
GAUGAACGCUGGCGGCGUGCCUAAUACAUGCAAGUCGAGCGAACAGACGAGGAGCUUGCUCCUCUGACGUUAGCGGCGGACGGGUGAGUAACACGUGGAUAACCUACCUAUAUGACUGGGAUAACUUCGGGAAACCGGAGCUAAUACCGGAUAAUAUAUUGAACCGCAUGGUUCAAUAGUGAAAGACGGUUUUGCUGUCACUUAUAGAUGGAUCCGCGCCGCAUUAGCUAGUUGGUAAGGUAACGGCUUACCAAGGCAACGAUGCGUAGCCGACCUGAGAGGGUGAUCGGCCCCACUGGAACUGGGACACGGUCCAGACUCCUACGGGAGGCAGCAGUAGGGAAUCUUCCGCAAUGGGCGAAAGCCUGACGGAGCAACGCCGCGUGAGUGAUGAAGGUCUUCGGAUCGUAAAACUCUGUUAUUAGGGAAGAACAAAUGUGUAAGUAACUAUGCACGUCUUGACGGUACCUAAUCAGAAAGCCACGGCUAACUACGUGCCAGCAGCCGCCGUAA